UCAGCAGCCGCGGUAAUACGGAGGAUCCGAGCGUUAUCCGGAUUUAUUGGGUUUAAAGGGUGCGUAGGCGGAAUAAUAAGUCAGUUGUGAAAGUUUGCGGCUCAACCGUAAAAUUGCAGUUGAUACUGUUAUUCUUGAGUGUACAUAAGGUAGGCGGAAUUCGUGGUGUAGCGGUGAAAUGCUUAGAUAUCACGGACAACUCCAAUUGCGAAGGCAGCUUACCGGGGUACAACUGACGCUGAGGCACGAAAGUGUGGGUAUCAAACAGGAUUAGAUACCCUGGUAGUCCACACAGUAAACGAUGAAUACUCGCUGUUUGCGAUAUACAGUAAGCGGCCAAGCGAAAGCAUUAAGUAUUCCACCUGGGGAGUACGCCGGCAACGGUGAAACUCAAAGGAAUUGACGGGGGCCCGCACAAGCGGAGGAACAUGUGGUUUAAUUCGAUGAUACGCGAGGAACCUUACCCAGGCUUAAAUUGCAGAUGAAUAUAGUGGAAACAUUAUAGCCAGCAAUGGCAUCUGUGAAGGUGCUGCAUGGUUGUCGUCAGCUCGUGCCGUGAGGUGUCGGCUUAAGUGCCAUAACGAGCGCAACCCUUAUUGAUAGUUACUAACAGGUUAAGCUGAGGACUCUAUCAAGACCGCCGUCGUAAGAUGCGAGGAAGGUGGGGAUGACGUCAAAUCAGCACGGCCCUUACGUCUGGGGGUACACACGUGUUACAAUGGGGGGUACAGAAGGUCGUUACCUGGCAACAGGAUGCUAAUCCCAAAAACCUCUCACAGUUCGGAUUGGAGUCUGCAACUCGACUCCAUGAAGCUGGAUUCGUUCGUAAUCGCGCAUCAGCCACGGCGCGGUGAAUACGUUCCCGGGCCUUGUACACACCGCCCGUCAAGCCAUGGGAGCCGGGGGUACCUGAAGUACGUAACCGUAAGGAGCGUCCUAGGGUAAAACUGGUGACUGGGGCUAAGUCGUAACAAGGUA
Molecule: ribosomal RNA, 978 nt
Filed under: uncultured Bacteroides sp.
Lineage: Bacteria; Pseudomonadati; Bacteroidota; Bacteroidia; Bacteroidales; Bacteroidaceae
Description: bacterial SSU rRNA
Rfam family: Bacterial small subunit ribosomal RNA
Source: RNAcentral